GGCGCGAUGGCAGAGUGGUCUAAUGCGAUAGACUAGAAAUCUAUUUCCUUCGGGAGCGCAGGUUCAAAUCCUGCUCGCGUCG
Molecule: transfer RNA, 82 nt
Organism: Microdochium bolleyi
Lineage: Eukaryota; Fungi; Ascomycota; Sordariomycetes; Xylariales; Microdochiaceae
Rfam family: tRNA
About the family: Transfer RNA (tRNA) molecules are approximately 80 nucleotides in length. Their secondary structure includes four short double-helical elements and three loops (D, anti-codon, and T loops).
Source: Rfam